This 475-nucleotide ribosomal RNA is filed under the name uncultured bacterium. RNAcentral's name for it is "partial 16S ribosomal RNA". It matches the Rfam family "Bacterial small subunit ribosomal RNA", at positions 28 to 505 of the family's 1533-position model. The record is from RNAcentral.
GAUAAACGCUGGCGGCGUGCAUAACACAUGCAAGUCGAACGAUGAAGAUUAAAUGAUUUCUUCGGAAUGAACUUAAUUGGCUUAGUGGCGGACGGGUGAGUAACGCGUGAGUAACCUGCCUUGUACAAGGGGAUAGCCGUUGGAAACGACGAAUAAUACCCUAUGACAUCAAAUAAUCGCAUGAUAAUUUGAUCAAAGAUUUAUCGGUAUAAGAUGGACUCGCGUCUGAUUAGCUAGUUGGUAGAGUAAAAGCCUACCAAGGCAACGAUCAGUAGCCGGUUGGAGGGAGGGAACGCCCAAAUGGGGAAGGGAAGAAGCCCAGGGCUCUAAGGGGGGGAAGGAGGGGGAAAUUUGCAAAAAGGGGGAAAGCCGGAAGGAAGCAUCGCGGGGGGAUUAAGAAGGCUUCGGGGUUGAAAAAACUUUUUGUAUGGGAAGAAAGAGAGAAGACCAUAAGAAAAAGCACGGGAAAAUCGGG